CUACGGGUUGCUCCAGUGGGGAAUAUUGGACAAUGGGGGAAACCCUGAUCCAGCAAUGCCGCGUGUGUGAAGAAGGCCUGCGGGUUGUAAAGCACUUUCGGUUGGGAGGACUGCUUCUAGCACUAAUAUUGUUGGAAGUUGACGUUACCUUCAGAAGAAGCACCGGAUAACUCCGUGCCAGCAGCCGCGGUGAAUACGGAGGGUGCAAGCGUUAAUCGGAAUUACUGGGCGUAAAGCGCGCGUAGGCGGCUAGAUCAGUCGGGUGUGAAAGCCCCGGGCUUAACCUGGGAACUGCAUCCGAUACUGUCUAGCUUGAGUACAGGAGAGGAGAGUGGAAUUCCAGAUGUAGCGGUGAAAUGCGUAGAUAUGUGGAGGAACACCAAUGGCGAAGGCAGCUCUCUGGCCUGAUACUGACGCUGAGGUGCGAAAGCGUGGGGAGCAAACAGGAUUAGAUACCCUAGUAGUC
This 466-nucleotide ribosomal RNA is filed under the name uncultured bacterium. RNAcentral describes it as "partial 16S ribosomal RNA". It matches the Rfam family "Bacterial small subunit ribosomal RNA", at positions 339 to 795 of the family's 1533-position model. The record is from RNAcentral.